Columba livia (rock pigeon) is the source of this 5804-nucleotide long non-coding RNA. RefSeq lists it as uncharacterized. The record is from RefSeq and is a predicted model, not a curated record. The transcript has 3 exons. NCBI's taxonomy places the organism in Eukaryota, Metazoa, Chordata, Aves, Columbiformes, Columbidae.
CAGGGGCUUUUUGCUCUGUUCUGUGUGCCUGCCAUUAGGUAGAACACUCGGUCUUGCAAAAUCAUUAAUAAAAUAUGAUUUGCUGAGAGAUCCUGCCUGGGCCUAUUAUAUUGGCAAGAUGAUAGUUUCCUACAAGGAGGCUGAUGUGUGUCUCUAGAAACAAGCACGACCAGGCAGGUAGUGCUGCUUUACUAACUGUAGAACUAAUGUUCUGGCGGCAGAAUGUAGCGUCAGCUUUUGGAACUUGUGCUUCUUUUUAAAUCUGCUGUACGGGCUGUGUGGGCCAUGCAGGGGGCGCUGCAGGAUCCCGUCAGGAGGGGCGGGGCUGCCCUGCUGGACAGAGCCGGUUCCAGCUGGUUCCAGCCGGUUCUAGGUGGUUCUAGGCGGUUCCACAGUUGAGCGCGGCAGCAAGGCUGGUGGAGUCUCUGUGGAAGUGUGUUCAGAAAAGGGGCAAAAUGCUGCCCAGGAGUGAGGGGAAAAGGUGUGAAAGAGCAGGGUGAACCCCAGGGGAAGAAGAAGAGAAGGAGGAGGAGGAAGAGGAAGGGGAAGAGGUCCAGGUGCUGUGACAGGGGUUCCCUGCACCCCUGGAGGACCCACACAGUUAUCUGAAGAACAGAAUUCUUCUGCAACAUUAAUAAUUGUGUGCUUACACUGAUUCACUGCAGCAUCAUUUGACCUCUUCAACUAUUCCUCUCCAUAGGAUGGCAGCUUAUUGCAUAGAAACACCAGUGCAAUGCACUGCACACCUGGGCCUUGAAUUAUUCCCUUUGGCUGAGUUGAAAGGAGCCUGAGAGAGUUGGUCCUUGAUUUUUCUGAGGUAAGAGGCUUUUCAUUUGUGACUCGACAUGGAUCCUGUUAUUAUUGAUUCCGCAGUACGCUUUUCAUCCUGACUGUAGGUAGUGACUGACACUGACAAUUAGUUUGGAAGAGCAGUGACGUGAGUGGUAUUUCAGUAGAAAAAAAAAGAGGCAGGGUUUGGGCUGCUUUUAACUGAACCAGCUUGUUUGCUGAAAAAUCUCCAUGGUGAGAACAUAGACGUGUACAGACCUGGCUGUGGCUUGACUGAAGCGUGCAACAUGACAAAGGCCAGCGGUCCUCUGGAGCUCGAGCUGUGUUUCACUUCCAACACUGUUAUCAGAAGGUCAGAAAGAGAGGGUCACUACUGGUUUUUAUUUGGGGAAGGCUAAGCAAAAGCCAGGAUUUCUCUCCUUAUAAGUAAUGUUUCUGAACCUGAUGCUACUAAAUGCUUGUGAAGUAGAAACCUAUAAGAAAAAAAGAAAAAUCAGAGAAGAAAAGGAGAACAUCAGAUGAGAUUAUCCUCUGGUAACAUAUGUUAUCUGAAAACUGAGGAAAGCUGCAUUGUUUGGGACUAUAUUGCAUAGAAAUACUUCCCCCGCUCUCUGGUGAUGGUUACAGCUCACAAAUAAAGACCACAGGUGUUUUCUCUUCAGGGUUUCUGUUUUUCCCUUUAUUUAGUCUGAGCUUUUCAGUUCUCAAAGAUGGAAUGGAAGCACAGCAACAUCCCACAGAGAGGAGAGAAAGGGCAAGGGAACAGGGACAGGAUAUAAAUGUCUCCAUACAAUUUAGAUUUUUCUUUUUUACCAAAUUAUGAAGAAGCAGAGCUUCUGUAUCUCAUGCACUGAUAAUUUUGAACCAGUGUUGUGGGAGUAGUCAGCAACUGCAAGGAAACAAGAUGCAAUUGAAAUUCUAUUCAUACCAGUGUGACAUACAAGGCAAUUGGAGAGUAACGUUGUAAUAAAGAAUAAAUUUCAUAGCCCCUUUUAUCCAUUAAAAUUAGUCAUUUACUUAAACAGGUUUUGGAUCAGGUCUAAAUGCCAGUACAUAUGAAACUCAUAUGUCUUCCUUUUUCAAAUGUGUGCCAAAAUUCUUUAAAGCUGGAGAAAGCUGUAUUUCUUCCCAGGCUUUCUGCUAUUUUUUUUUUUUAAUCAAAUUCAUAUAUGCAAAUAAUGAAUUUCUAAAUGUAUGGUUUGAUAUUGUAAAAGUAGGAAAAUAAAUUAAUUUGGUUAUCUUCUAAAAGGACCCUGUUGUCAAAGGAAAUUUGGCAUUUCUUUAGUAAACUGAGAAAUUAUCAUUUGAAGUCGUAGUUUAUCUGCUAUGCAUUAGGUUACCUUUAAGUAAUUAUAAAAAUCUUAACUAAUCAGCAUUUUGAACUGGAAAAUCAUUUUGAAUUGAAAAAUAAAGUGUAUAUUCUUGGAAAUGUAGCCACCAAACAUAUACUUUUUUAGCAUUCAGACUGGAAUGGUUGAGGUCUAUUCAAGAAAACUUAACGAAAAACUAAUGGUUGUUGGAUGUCUUUUUGCCAGUUUAUACCCAACUGCAGAAUUUCUCUUGAUAGUAAGAGGAUAUGAAAUGUGGACUGUUUUUCAACUUGAAAUACGAAAAAGCCCAGAGACUCUAGAAAGGAAUGCCACUGUGGAAUGAUUCAGCCAAUCUGACUUUGCUUGUAACAAAAAUCCAGCAACAUCACAUCUUGGUAUCCUUACAGAGACCCUAAGUGGAACCUGUACUUCUUUUGGGGUUAUAACAAACCUUUUGAAACCAAAGGGAUGCUCCUUUUGUUUGUCUCAUUUUCAGAAGAGCUGAGUUUUCAGAACUCAGCUGAAGCUACUGAGGAUUAGGUAACUCUGAAAGUCAGAAUCCUGGAAAAAAACUGCUAUAAGGAGGAGGAUGACUAUGUGAUGUCCUUUUGUUGAUAUAUGUUUUGUUUUCUGAAAGGAAGGUUGAUGGAAUUUACUGCUUAUCUGUUGAUGUCAUAGGAAUGGAAAGACCAUGUGUUAAAAUAUAUGACUUCUUUGCAUAUAUAUGCAUUGUGAAAAUAGGAAUUGUUUGAAAGUAGUGAACAGGUAUGCGUGGCAUCUAGUAGACAGAAUUUUAAAUUUUACAGCAAGUUACUAGGCAGCUUUUAAACUUUCCACUAUUUGUGGAUACAUUAAUUUUCUAGGCACUAUAGGAUGAUAAAAAGAUCAGGAUUUUUCUUUAUAGCCCCCGCUCUUUGACCCAAUCUGACUGUAUAUCUUGAUGUCUGGAAGCAUGAAAAGAUUCAAGGCAGGAUAUUUUCAUCUCAGGUCAACUUUCUCUGGUACUUAAUGCAUACAAAGGAGGCCUUCAGGAGGUUUCGCACACACUGGAGAGUGAUGCUGGAAAGUAUAUGCUUAUGACAGCUCUAAAUGUAACAUUUGUCACUGGGAAUCCUUCCCAGCUGUACACUAUUUUCUGUUGCAUUUCAAAGGAAAAGAAGGAAAGGAAAUUCUCAGAUGACCAACCCAGGAUGGCACUAAUGGUUUUCUCUCCCCUGGGUUUCAUGAGGCCAACUGCUGUUGAAGUUACCCAUGUAAGUGUGUUAGCCAUAAGUAUUAAUCAAUAUUUGUCCAUCUGAACUAAAAUUGAAUUAAUAGCAGCCUUUAAAAUAGAGAUCUGUCUCCCAUUAUAUACCUUUUUUUAAUUUUAUGUUUGUCAUCCACUGAUAGUGAUGGAUAUUUAUGUACACAGUUUUCUUUGCAUUUCUCACCACCUGUCUUUUGCCCCUAUUAAUUCAUAAUAACAUGAUUAUUAGUCACAAUAAUAGCUGGAGUAACUGAUUGUGCUGCUGGAAUGGAGGUUAUACCAAUUUUUCUGUAAUAAGCUGUUUUUUUUUUUUUCCUUUCCUUUCUCUUCUCUCUCAAGGCUGUAACUCAGCCAUGAAGCAGCUAAGAGUGAGGCAGCAGAAGGUCAUAAUUUGGGAAAGCUUUUUAUUUUUAAAGAAAUAUUGAUACAAUGGAAUGACUGUUUUGAAAUUAAAAUGAGGCAACAGGCACUUUUUUUUGUUGUUGUUUCUUCUUUUGGAUGAAUUUUGUGUCUCAGCCUAAUAAUGGCUUUUUUUUAAGCAGAAAAGAAAAAGUGACUUUUUCAGCAUGAAAUGCUGUAAUGCAGGUUGCUUCAAAAAUAAAAUGGAUGGCUAUGGAAGUAAGUUUUUGGGGAGAGAGAUGAAUGGAAUUAUUAUGUUAUUAAAAAGUAAAUUUGGAAAUAGGAGAGAUAUCUGCAUUUAAACAUAGUUACGCAGCUGGCAGUUCGGCAGGGAAGGCUCUGAAAUCCAGGAAGACUGAGGAACAACUGUUCCAGCAUCUUUACAGAAACCUCUGAUUCCUUUGCUCUCCUUUUAGAGAGGAAAUGCAACAUUUAUCCAUUUAGACUUUGGUAGAGCAGCCUCAGGUGUCCAGUGCUGGGCUGGUUUUGUACUUCUGUUAAGCAAGGUAUGUUACACAAAUCUCUAAACCCUGGUUCUGAUCAGUGGGGCUGGAGGUUGGGACGUGGGCUCCUGGUGGCAGUUACAGCCAUGGCUGGUGCUCUGUGGUAUUGCAGAAUUACUGUAUCUGUCUUCUCCUCUUUAAAUGCAACUUUUGUAAUGCUUCAGUGAAUCCUACAGCUGUAAAAGGUACCAGCAUGGCACCACUAAAACACAGAAAUUAAACUUCUCAGCUGGCCGAAGUUCUUAUGGAUUCAGUGGCUCCUGAGAAGCCACAGCUGUUUACAGAAGCUAUUUAUUAAUAUCUGCAGGCAAGCAGAGGAACUGCAGAGGCAGAGCAAUUAUGUUAUGAGCUCGUCCGUUCUCAACAACUCGUACCAAGAAGUUUAUGAAGGGAAGAGUAAGGACAACUGUGUGUCUCAGUGUGGUUGGAUCCUGCUGAGAUGCCCAGCUGAAGUGCUAGAGGUAAAAAGAAUGUUUUGUUGUAGGCUGGAAUAUUGUUGGUUUUCUCUUUUUUCCUUGGUAAGGACUUAGUACAUUUUAGGACAGCUGAUUUGUUGGCUGGGGCACUGAUGCCAGAAUAUAAAAGUAAAUAACAUUUUGCCUGUCCUCAAUUUAAGAUGCAUUUUUGCUUUCUCACCUGUAUUGGUUAUGGCUUUUUCUCAAACACCAGGAGAUCUCCAGAAGACCACAUCCUCCUGACUACUGCCACCGUGCCUGAGUGCGUCUGAAUUUCCUUGCUCUUCUUUUGAAAAUACUCAUUUUCAAAGAUAUUUUUAUAUUGGAGAUGGCUCAUGCAGAAAGCCCUAAUGAUCUUUUUUGAGGCAGACUGUGGUAAUUCACACAGUAUCCUGUCCAUCCCAUCCUCUGCUUCAUGGGUCUUCUAGCUUAUAGAAAUGCCUCUUCAGAUUUCUGGGUGUUGUGAGCAUCAGGUGACACACAGCUGAUACAUUUUCCAUUCAGAAAACCAGUGUCUUGUCUGCGCAGGGUCCCAUUUUUUUCAUAAUUCAGCAUGAGAUAAUUGGUUUUCUGCAUAAAAUACCUGCAUGUUUCUAAAACAAACAAAAAAUACUUUACGGACCAGAAGGCUUUGCUAAUCAGUGUGUAAUGUGCAAUAUAAAAGCAUUUGCUAGCUGUUGCUCCUGGAAAAUCUGAAGGCUGAAAGAAUUACACCAUAACUACAGAGCCUGAACAGUUUUGUUUGGUUUCCUUUCUUUUUCAUAUAUUUCAUUAUGCUUCCCAUUAUUCAGACAUGCAGAACAAACCAGGAUAAAUGGCUGGAAGCCUAAAUCACCAGUGAAGAGAAAUGGUAUUUCUCUUUAUUCUGCAAAAGGCAGAUGAAGGAAUAAUACCUUAAAAAUUGCAUUUUGGUAAUGUCUUAUUUUUCUCACUGUUCCUAUGUUUCCCUUCUGAUUCCACGGAGAAAUCUGUUCAUUGAUUUUUAUUUUUUUUAAAGUUUCUUAACCUGGAACCUCUGUCUGUACACAGUCUGCACACAGCUUCAUGUACAGGCACCAUCCCACCCCUCCUCCCAGGUACCAUUUCUCUGUCCUUAACUGCA